Molecule: small RNA, 124 nt
Filed under: Klebsiella pneumoniae
Lineage: Bacteria; Pseudomonadati; Pseudomonadota; Gammaproteobacteria; Enterobacterales; Enterobacteriaceae
Description: RtT sRNA
Rfam family: RtT RNA
About the family: This family represents a bacterial cis-regulatory element known as RtT RNA. The exact function of RtT is unknown although it is thought that it may be involved in changing the cellular response in relation to amino acid starvation.
Source: RNAcentral
UAUUCUGCCCCACGGGGAAGGAUGAGAAGCUUCGACUAAGGUUCGACUCGAGCGAAGCGAGAGAACGUUGCAGGCAACGGCCCGAGCGAGGCGCUUAGCGCCGAGUAAUCCUUCCCCACCACUG